GUCGAACGGCAGCAUGAUCUAGCUUGCUAGAUUGAUGGCGAGUGGCGAACGGGUGAGUAAUACAUCGGAACGUGCCCUGUAGUGGGGGAUAACUAGUCGAAAGAUUAGCUAAUACCGCAUACGACCUGAGGGUGAAAGUGGGGGACCGCAAGGCCUCAUGCUAUAGGAGCGGCCGAUGUCUGAUUAGCUAGUUGGUGGGGUAAAGGCCCACCAAGGCGACGAUCAGUAGCUGGUCUGAGAGGACGAUCAGCCACACUGGGACUGAGACACGGCCCAGACUCCUACGGGAGGCAGCAGUGGGGAAUUUUGGACAAUGGGCGAAAGCCUGAUCCAGCAAUGCCGCGUGUGUGAAGAAGGCCUUCGGGUUGUAAAGCACUUUUGUCCGGAAAGAAAUGGCUCUGGUUAAUACCUGGGGUCGAUGACGGUACCGGAAGAAUAAGGACCGGCUAACUACGUGCCAGCAGCCGCGGUAAUACGUAGGGUCCAAGCGUUAAUCGGAAUUACUGGGCGUAAAGCGUGCGCAGGCGGUUGUGCAAGACCGAUGUGAAAUCCCCGAGCUUAACUUGGGAAUUGCAUUGGUGACUGCACGGCUAGAGUGUGUCAGAGGGGGGUAGAAUUCCACGUGUAGCAGUGAAAUGCGUAGAGAUGUGGUGGAAUACCGAUGGCGAAGGCAGCCCCCUGGGAUAACACUGACGCUCAUGCACGAAAGCGUGGGGAGCAAACAGGAUUAGAUACCCUGGUAGUCCACGCCCUAAACGAUGUCAACU
This 767-nucleotide ribosomal RNA is filed under the name uncultured microorganism. Its description in RNAcentral is "bacterial SSU rRNA". It matches the Rfam family "Bacterial small subunit ribosomal RNA", at positions 61 to 817 of the family's 1533-position model. The record is from RNAcentral.